Mycena epipterygia is the source of this 90-nucleotide non-coding RNA. NCBI's taxonomy places the organism in Eukaryota, Fungi, Basidiomycota, Agaricomycetes, Agaricales, Mycenaceae. The record is from the annotation of a GenBank genome assembly.
GCACCGGUGGUGUACGGUACACCCAAUCUUUCAUUAAUUGAUGGAAUGGGGUAAAUGAUUGAGUCCGGGGUUCGACUCCCCGCCGGUGCA